Molecule: long non-coding RNA, 2264 nt
Organism: Anguilla anguilla (European eel)
Lineage: Eukaryota; Metazoa; Chordata; Actinopteri; Anguilliformes; Anguillidae
Exons: 7
Source: RefSeq, a predicted model, not a curated record
AGAUGACUAAGACUGGCGUUGAAGAGGAAGGCCUGGCUGUUUUUGGGAUGAUGGAGGAAGCGGAGGGGGUGGAAGAAGGAAAGAUGGAGGAGAAAGCAGAGGAGAAGGUGGCUGAGGCAGAAUUGGGGGUUUUGUGCAGCUUUGAGGGUAUGCCUGGGUCAUACUUGUCACCUCCAGAGAAUAUGGAGGCUCUGCCACAGGAAGCUGAGCCCCAAUCUCCGACCUUCACUGCUGAACAUGAGCCCCACCUUGCCACCAGCAUGACCAAACGUGAGCCAACCCUCACUGUUGAACAUGAGCCCCACCUUGCCUCCCACAUGACCAAACCUGAGCCAACUGUCACUGCUGAAAAUGGGCCCCACCUUGCCACCCCCAUGGAUGAACACAAGCCCUGCCCUGACGGCUCCACUGCUGAAGGUCACAUAAAGGUCACUGACAGGAUAGCGGGACAGAAGAAGGUGUUCUGGAAGAGGCAGAAGGCAAAGCCCAAAAUGCAGACGGCAGAGGCUGCCGGGAAGGAAGGUGGCCCCCAAAACACUCUGGCCCCAUUUCGUCUUCAGGACUUCAUGUGCUUCAAAAUUUCUAAAUGUUACACUGUCCUGCUCCUACUUGUGUUAUUGGCAUUUCCCGUGAACAGCAAUGAGACUCCCAAACAAAGUAAGUAGUACUGAGUGUAAUCCUAUACAUAACUACCCACUUUUUUUCUUCCUGUCAACACUUUCUCCCUCCAAGAAGAGAGGUUUGUCACCUCGCUGGCCUUCUACUGUGGAAAUUAACUGCACGAGGACACAGCGUCAUUAAUGUGAAGCACCACUCUUAUGUAGCACUAGCUCCCCCUUGUGGAGAAUCUUCAGCUUGCUAAACAUGAAUGAGUGAGUGUGUGAGUGAGUUACAAGCCAGCUUUGCAUCUAAUAAACCUUAUGUAAUCAAACGAGCUACUAACAUUAUAUUAAUAAGCAAUAUCACCUCAGUUAAUGGAGAAUUAUGGUAAGUGACACGAAAAGGAAUUAAAUUAAAGGUUUUAAAGUGGCUUGUGCUGUUCAGCAGUUGGCCAUGCUUUAUUAGGAAACCAUCCAGAGGUUUCCAACAGUUUAUUGAGGCUGAUCUCACUCCCACCCACACAAACCCCACGCUUAUUUGGUCUUGGGUGUGCUGUCAUGACUGAUGGGAACCCUGUGCUAUUCUCUCUAAUCUGUGCAUAAACCCCGUCCCUGGAAAGUAAGACUUUCUGUUUUCAUGUCACAGGAAUGUGCGCAGUUUGCUUGGAAAAGGACUGCGCAAAUGGUGUGACAAGAAUCUACCCAGCAGGCAGCGACAUAGCAAUUUGGUCAAAAGCAAACUCCCCAACUGGAAUCCAAAACUGCUCCAUGGAGAAUCUAAAGCCAGAUGCUCCCUGUAAGAUGGCUAAUGGUAGCCUCGUCCUACCGGCUGACAACCCCCUUCAAUUUGAAGGGGCGAAAAUAUUCAACUCACAGAGUUUGCCCUGCGAUAAGCUUAAUCUGCCUCCCAGUUCCACGCCUUCCCCCGUGGCGGACAACAAAGGCAUCAUCAUCGGCAUCAUCAUCGGCAGCGUCAUCGGCAGCAUCAUCUUCAUCGGCUUUAUCGGAUUUUUGAUUUGGAAGCUUUACAUCCGUCUAAGAGGGCUGUACAGAGGCCGUCGUCAAGAGAACAACGGGGUGCCUCCUGAUGAGAUCAUCGUCCAGAUGCAGCCUCUUAAGGAAGAAGUUGCAAACGGAAACGUUAACGGGGUCCAUUGAGAGGAUGACAGCGUUGGGACUGCAGGAUAACUGAAAUCACGGCCCUCACCCCUGCAGCCGUUCUACAUUCCAUCCCCGGUUCUUUUGGGAUAUCUGCUGUCUUUUGGUUUUUGCCUUUCGGAUCGCUUUGGGACAAAAAGCUGUGGCUUGCUAUCUUCUCUCAUUCAUUUAUUGUGUGACUGUCCAUGUCUGUAACUUCUGUUAACCGUUUUAAGGUAGUUGAACCUCGUCUUUUGACGUGAAUACUUGUAGAUUUAACUAAGCCUGCCUUUCAAUAAACAAUGUUCUUUACACUAGGGCUAAGAGUCUGUGGUUGUUGCAGUUAUUUCUGUGGGGAACCCUGAAAAGGGCCAAACUCUCAGUGCUGUAUAGGUAUGGGGCUUUCCCCGUCAAGUAGUAAUUUGGCUGGAUGGCAUACCUUCCAUCCCAAUUUUGUUUUAGCAAUGUUACUUAAUAUCUAGGAAUAGCUAAGCCUGCCUUUUAAUAAACAAUCUUCUUCACACUGAA